This 167-nucleotide unclassified non-coding RNA is filed under the name soil metagenome. RNAcentral describes it as "partial internal transcribed spacer 1". The record is from RNAcentral.
GUGAAUUAAACAUGCUUGGUGUCUUCGCUUCGGCAAGGCCCUUGCUUAAAUCACAUCCUAACACCUGUGAACUGUAAGACGUAUGAUGAGGUCUUUGGCCGAGUCAUCGUCUGCCCAUUUUUAACAAACAAUUAAUGUAACAAACGUAGUCUUAUUAUAACCUAAUA